AAACCAUGGUGAGGGCAUUUUGAUAAGUACCCGUUGAAUCUUUCCCAAGCUUCUCCAAAUCCUUCCAGGUUCUUUUGUUGAAAUCCAGAGAUUUCAUUUCUAAUCUU
This is a non-coding RNA of Brassica napus (rape), 107 nucleotides long. The record is from Rfam. NCBI's taxonomy places the organism in Eukaryota, Viridiplantae, Streptophyta, Magnoliopsida, Brassicales, Brassicaceae.